Molecule: ribosomal RNA, 375 nt
Filed under: uncultured bacterium
Lineage: Bacteria
Description: bacterial SSU rRNA
Rfam family: Bacterial small subunit ribosomal RNA
Source: RNAcentral
GACGAACGCUGGCGGCGUGCUUAACACAUGCAAGUCGAGCGGUAAGGCCCUUUCGGGGGUACACGAGCGGCGAACGGGUGAGUAACACGUGGGUGACCUGCCUCUAGCUCUGGGAUAAGCCCGGGAAACUGGGUCUAAUACUGGAUAUGACUCCAUGACGCAUGUUGUGGGGUGGAAAGCCUUGUGCGGCUAGAGAUGGGCCCGCGGCCUAUCAGCUUGUUGGUGGGGNGAUGGCCUACCAAGGCGACGACGGGUAGCCGGCCUGAGAGGGCGACCGGCCACACUGGGACUGAGACACGGCCCAGACUCCUACGGGAGGCAGCAGUGGGGAAUCUUGCGCAAUGGGCGAAAGCCUGACGCAGCGACGCCGCGUGA